UACAGAGGUCUCAAGCGUUGUUCGGAAUCACUGGGCGUAAAGCGCGCGUAGGCGGCUUGUCAAGUCAGGGGUGAAAUCCCACGGCUCAACCGUGGAACUGCCUUUGAAACUGUCAGGCUAGAGUGUCGGAGGGGAUAGCGGAAUUGCUAAUGUAGAGGUGAAAUUCGUAGAUAUUAGCAGGAACACCGGUGGCGAAGGCGGCUAUCUGGACGACAACUGACGCUGAGGCGCGAAAGCGUGGGGAUCAAACAGG
This 253-nucleotide ribosomal RNA is filed under the name uncultured bacterium. RNAcentral describes it as "partial 16S ribosomal RNA". It matches the Rfam family "Bacterial small subunit ribosomal RNA", at positions 524 to 776 of the family's 1533-position model. The record is from RNAcentral.